RNAcentral lists this long non-coding RNA (1188 nucleotides) under Musa acuminata (dwarf banana). RNAcentral describes it as "long non-coding RNA (MACU_LNC010155)". Lineage: Eukaryota; Viridiplantae; Streptophyta; Magnoliopsida; Zingiberales; Musaceae. The record is from RNAcentral.
UUUAAAGGCUAGUAGUGCUAGUCAGCUCUAGUCAGAUUUCACCCUGCAUGGAGAGCUAGCAUGCUUGUGAAGCAUACACUAAGCAACCCAGUUUGAAAUCCAUCUAGUAUAAAAAUUACCAAAAAGUUGUGACUCCACACACAUUUAAAUAUAUAUUAAGGGUAGCAUAUAUAGGAUCAGAAUUUUAAAACCCCAGCAUCCAUCUCCUAUCUUUCCCUCUCCCCUGCCCCCAUUUCACCUCCUUUCUAUCAGCAUGCAUGUUUGAUUUUGCAUACUCAUACUGAAUGCAUCUUACUAUACUUAUCUGUUGAAGAAUUAAUAGCAGACAAGAUGUUAACAUUAGUAACUACUUAUGUUACUUCAUUUACAUAAAGGUUUCAAAUACUAAGGAUCAUUACCAGUUCAUAUCAGUACCAAUAGGUAUCUAUUCUUUUGUCUGAUGAUACCAAAUGGCGCAUAUUGGAAUUCCGUUCCGUACAACAAUAAUGUAUCAUUCCAACCAAAACUAUUAUCAGGCAGAGAUUUAAACCUUUAAUUUAAUGUACAUAUUAAAGGUAUCGUCUCGCUUUCUCUAUCUUUUCGUAAAGAAGGAACGAGGAAAUCUUACUCAUCGUUGAUGGCGAUGAAUGUUGAGACGAUCUCGACCCUGGAGUGGUGCACUCGAUCAUAUCGAGGGCUUUCUUUGGGUUCUUGGAGGUCUUAGUCUCCCCUUAUCCGUAUUCACAGAAGAUCGAGCGAAAAAUCUUCCUUCUUAUGGACGGCCGUGGCGAACGUUGCGGAAAUCCCCGGAACGCUGCAAUUGAUCGUUGCGGGUUUCCUUCCGAUUCUUGGAGGCCUUCGUCUUCUUCCAUCUCCAAAAGAACGAGCGACCAAUCGACCGAUGGUGGUGGAGAAUCUCGCGGCGGUGGCGACCCCUGGAGUGGUGCCAUCGAUCAUUAAGGUCUCUGCGUCUCUCUAUCUCACUUCUCUUCUCUAAAUGAACCAGCGAGGAAUCUUGCAAUCUCGAUCCGGAAGAGAUGCAGUUGAUCGAAAUGGGUUUUCUUUCGGUGCUUGGAGGUCUUCCUCUCCUUUCCCCUCCCUCCCUGCAGAAGGACGAGCGAGAAAUGUUGUCGAUUGACGCGGUGGUGACCCAACCCAAUCCGAACCAACUCGAGUCUACUUGAACAAGCCCAACCCAGCCUCAAUCAU